Molecule: unclassified non-coding RNA, 345 nt
Filed under: soil metagenome
Description: partial contains 5.8S ribosomal RNA, internal transcribed spacer 2, and large subunit ribosomal RNA
Rfam family: 5.8S ribosomal RNA (bases 1-120)
Source: RNAcentral
GAUGAAGAACGCAGUGAAAUGCGAUAAGUAAUGUGAAUUGCAGAAUUCAGUGAAUCAUCGAGUCUUUGAACGCACAUUGCGCCCCCUGGUAUUCCGGGGGGCAUGCCUGUCCGAGCGUCAUUGCUGCCCUCAAGCACGGCUUGUGUGUUGGGCCUCCGUCCUCCUCCCGGGGGACGGGCCCGAAAGGCAGCGGCGGCACCGCGUCCGGUCCUCGAGCGUAUGGGGCUUCGUCACCCGCUCUUGUAGGCCCGGCCGGCGCUUGCCGACACAUCAAUCUUUUUUCCAGGUUGACCUCGGAUCAGGUAGGGAUACCCGCUGAACUUAAGCAUAUCAAUAAGCGGAGGA